RNAcentral lists this ribosomal RNA (253 nucleotides) under uncultured bacterium. Its description in RNAcentral is "partial 16S ribosomal RNA". It matches the Rfam family "Bacterial small subunit ribosomal RNA", at positions 524 to 776 of the family's 1533-position model. The record is from RNAcentral.
UACAGAGGGUGCGAGCGUUAAUCGGAAUUACUGGGCGUAAAGCGUGCGUAGACGGUUAUUUAAGUCGGGUGUGAAAGCCCCGGGCUCAACCUGGGAAUUGCAUUCGAGACUGAAUAGCUAGGGUACGGUAGAGGGAAGCGGAAUUUCCGGUGUAGCGGUGAAAUGCGUAGAUAUGUGGAGGAACACCGAUGGCGAAGGCAGCCCCCUGGGCUAACACUGACGCUCAUGCACGAAAGCGUGGGGAGCAAACAGG